Molecule: ribosomal RNA, 882 nt
Filed under: uncultured bacterium
Lineage: Bacteria
Description: bacterial SSU rRNA
Rfam family: Bacterial small subunit ribosomal RNA
Source: RNAcentral
CCCUUAGAGUUUGAUCCUGGCUCAGAAUGAACGUUGGCGGCGUGCCUAACACAUGCAAGUCGAGCGCGAAGACCCUUCGGGGUUUGUAGAGCGGCGGACGGGUGAGUAACGCGUAAGAAUCUACUCUUCAGAGGAGAAUACCCCCGAGAAAUUGGGGUUAAUACUGCAUACGUCCCUUCGGGGAGAAAGGUAGCUUUAUGCUGCCGUUGAAGAAUGAGCUUGCGUACUAUUAGCUAGUUGGUGAGGUAAUGGCAUCACCAAGGCGAUGAUGGUUAACCGGCCUGAGAGGGUGUACGGUCACAUUGGAACUGAGAUACGGUCCAGACUCCUACGGGAGGCAGCAGUGAGGAAUAUUGCGCAAUGGGCGAAAGCCUGACGCAGCGACGCCGCGUGGAGGAUGAAGGUCUUCGGAUUGUAAACUCCUGUCUAGCGGGAAGAAAAGCUUAUAAUGAAUAAGUAUAAGUAUGACGGUACCGCUAAAGAAAGCACCGGCUAACUUCGUGCCAGCAGCCGCGGUAAUACGAAGGGUGCAAACGUUAUUCGGAAUCAUUGGGCGUAAAGGGCGCGUAGACGGUUUUUUAAGUCUGUUGUUAAAUUUUCUGGCCUAACCAGAGAUCAGCGGCAGAUACUGAUAAGCUUGAGGGUGGAAGAGAGAAGUGGAAUUCUCGGAGUAGCGGUAAAAUGCGUAGAUCUCGAGAGGAACACCGAUGGCGAAGGCAGCUUCUUGGUCCAUUCCUGACGUUGAGGCGCGAAAGCGUGGGGAGCAAACAGAUAGAUACCCUGGUAGUCCACGCUGUAACGAUGAUCACUAGACGUCAGUCUGCUCUGCCGGAUUGGUGUCGUAGCUACGCGUUAGUGAUCGCUGGGGAUACGUCGCAGAUA